CCGACGGUGAGAGGCGAAAGCUGGGGGCGCGAACCGGAUUAGAUACCCGGGUAGUCCCAGCCGUAAACGAUGCUCGCUAGGUGUCUGGGAUGGUGCGACCGUUUCAGGUGCCGCAGGGAAGCCGUGAAGCGAGCCACCUGGGAAGUACGGCCGCAAGGCUGAAACUUAAAGGAAUUGGCGGGGGAGCACUACAACGGGUGGAGCCUGCGGUUUAAUUGGACUCAACGCCGGAAAACUCACCUGGGGC
RNAcentral lists this ribosomal RNA (247 nucleotides) under uncultured archaeon. RNAcentral describes it as "partial 16S ribosomal RNA". It matches the Rfam family "Archaeal small subunit ribosomal RNA", at positions 691 to 937 of the family's 1478-position model. The record is from RNAcentral.